AGAGUUUGAUCAUGGCUCAGAAUGAACGUUGGCGGCGUGGAUUAGGCAUGCAAGUCGAGCGCGAUAUGUAGCAAUACAUGGAGAGCGGCGAAAGGGAGAGUAAUACGUAGGUAUCUACCCUCGGGUCUGGGAUAGCAGCGGGAAACUGCUGGUAAUACCAGAUAACGUCUCCGGACCAAAGGUGUGAUUCCACCUGAGGAGGAGCCUACGGCCUAUUAGCUAGUUGGUAGGGUAACGGCCUACCAAGGCAAAGAUGGGUAUGGGGUGUGAGAGCAUGCCCCCACUCACUGGGACUGAGACACUGCCCAGACACCUACGGGUGGCUGCAGUCGAGAAUCUUCGGCAAUGGGCGAAAGCCUGACCGAGCGACACCGCGUGCGGGAUGAAGGCCUUCGGGUUGUAAACCGCUGUCGUAGUGGAGGAAAUGUAGGAGAGUUAUCUCUUCUACUUGACUAAUACUAGGAGGAAGGACCGGCUAAUCUCGUG
RNAcentral lists this ribosomal RNA (486 nucleotides) under uncultured bacterium. Its description in RNAcentral is "bacterial SSU rRNA". It matches the Rfam family "Bacterial small subunit ribosomal RNA", at positions 8 to 507 of the family's 1533-position model. The record is from RNAcentral.